Non-coding RNA from Candidatus Kaiserbacteria bacterium, 1461 nucleotides. The record is from Rfam. Lineage: Bacteria; Candidatus Kaiseribacteriota.
UUAAAUUAGAGUUUGAUCCUAGCUCAGGAUGAAUGCUGGCGGCGUGGAUGAGGCAUGCAAGUCGAAUGGGUUUAGGCCCAUGGCAGACGAGGUAGGAACACGUAGGUACGUACCCCAAAGUCAGGGAUAACCCGGAGAAAUCCGGGAUAAUACUUGAUAGUCUCUUCGGAGUAAAGAUUUAUCGCUUUGGGAACGGCCUGCGGGCUAUCAGCUUGUUGGUAAGGUAACGGCUUACCAAGGCUACGACGGCUAGGGGAGGUGAGAGCCUGACCCCCACCGAUGGAACUGCGACACGGUCCAUACUCCUACGGGAGGCUGCAGUCGAGAAUCUUCCGCAAUGGACGAAAGUCUGACGGAGCGACGCCGCGUGGUGGAUGAAGUCCUUAGGGACGUAAACACCUUUUAUGAGGGAGAAAGUAUAUUGAUGUUACCUCAUGAAUAAGGGGCUCCCAACUCUGUGCCAGCAGGAGCGGUAAUACAGAGGCCCCAAGCAUUAUCCGGAUUUACUGGGCGUAAAGGGUGCGUAGGCGGUUAUAUUAGUCGGGUGUUAAAUCCUGGGGCUCAACCUCAGGUUCGCAUUCGAAACGGUAUGACUAGAAGGUGUGAGAGGUAAGCAGAACUCAUGGUGUAGGGGUGAAAUCCGUUGAUAUCAUGGGGAAUACCAAAUGCGAAGGCAGCUUACUGGCACAUUCUUGACGCUGAGGCACGAAAGCGUGGGUAGCGAAGCGGAUUAGAUACCCGCGUAGUCCACGCCCUAAACGCUGUCUGUUGGCUAUAGGGAGUAUCGACCCUCUCUGUGGCGAAGCUAACGCGUUAAACAGACCGCCUGGGUAGUACGAUCGCAAGAUUAAAACUCAAAGGAAUAGACGGGGGCUCGCACAAGCGGUGGAUCAUGUGGCUUAAUUCGUCGAUAAGCGAAGAACCUUACCAAGGCUAGAAACUAUACUGCACGCCUAGAGAAACCUAGGAAGCCUUCGAGGGUGUAUAGCAGGUGAUGCAUGGCCGUCGUCAGUUCGUGGCUUGAGCUGUUCCCUUAAGUGGGGAAACGAACGCAACCCUCGUUGUGUGUUAUAAGUAUCACACGAGACUGCUCCCUCACGGGAGAGGAAGGUGAGGAUGACGCCAGGUCAGCAUGUCCCUUGAUGCCUUGGGCUGCACACGUGAUACAAUGGGUGGUACAACGGGACGCAAUACGGUAACGUGGAGCAAAUCCUAAUAAAACCAUCCCCAGUUCGGAUUGAGGGCUGCAACUCGCCCUCAUGAAGUCGGAAUCGCUAGUAAUCGCGGAUCAGCAACGCCGCGGUGAAUACGUUCCCGAGCCUUGUACUCACCGCCCGUCAAGUCAGGGGAGUCGGGAGUGCCCGAAGUCCCACCUCGCGUGGGCCGACGGUAAGCUCGAUAACAAGGACUAAGUCGUAACAAGGCACGGCUAGCGGAAGCUGGUCGUGGAUUAAUUCCAAU